CCUUAUUUUAGUGUUAAUUUACUACUUGAAUCUGCUCCUCUGCUCUUCUCCCCAUACUCAUACACAUACCUCUGCAAAAUGCAAUGCAAAAGUGGGUCACCAAAUAUACUUUGGCAGGUGCAAAUACCUGGCCAGCAAUAUGAAUAUUAUUAGUAUUAACUGAACGGUGGCUCAAAAAUCAAGGUCUGAAGCGUACCGUGGAUUUGGUCUAUGAUUACACCCCUAAGCUGAGCUAAUUAAUAUUACUUCGCUACUAAUUUAGCUAACAUUACGUAACAGCCAAAACAUGCUGUACAGGGGAGAUGUUAGCUAGCGCUAACAGCCUUCACUGUCCAGCAGUUGGGGAAACUACAGACUUAUUAACGGACACACAGUGACCUACACUGCACGGUUACUACCAGACAGGAACUUACUGCUAAUAUUUUUCUCCGCUAACUUUCAACGUCAUGUUCUGCCGCUCGCGCUCUCUCAUUUGCUCUGCCUCACACACAGGAUACGCAGAGAGCUGCCAAGCGUUAAGUGUCGCCAUGUUCGCAGUGUGCAAGUUAAAAUCAUUACUUGAACAUUGAUAUUGAUUGUGUGACAUUUUAUUAGGGUGGUUAUUCAUUCCACAGCGGUGGUGUGGGGUUUUUUCGCAGCGAGGAAUGCACGCAGGAGUGCCCGGAGCAGCUGUUCAUGUUGUCCCAGCAGUUGUCCUUGGCUGGAAAGUGCCAUGCUGAUGGUGGAGGGAGCGGGGUCGGAGUCCGCCGAUUCCACGCUUGUGGCCAGAUCAUUCUGGUAUGGCAGUCUAGGCAAAUGGACUCAAAAGCAGACUCGGGACAGGUAAAAAUCCAGGAAUUUAAAGUUUAUUGAAAAGUGGGGUGAGAGCAGAGCAGAGGGCAGACCAGGGAAUGGAGACCAGCAAGUGAACUUCCAGGCAGGCUGUGAGCUGAGUGAGGCAGUGGCAGAAUUUCCAGGCAGGCAGCGAUCCUGAGCACAGGGAGACAAGCUUGACUGUACUGCCUCCCUUUCCAUGAUGAGACUGCACUGGGUGACAUUCUGUAGUGUUGCUGAUUGGGCCUAGACUGCCGGGGGAUUUCCCAUGAUGCACUGAGCUCCUCUCUCCUCU
This is a long non-coding RNA of Micropterus dolomieu (smallmouth bass), 1108 nucleotides long. RefSeq lists it as uncharacterized. The record is from RefSeq and is a predicted model, not a curated record. NCBI's taxonomy places the organism in Eukaryota, Metazoa, Chordata, Actinopteri, Centrarchiformes, Centrarchidae. The transcript has 4 exons.